RNAcentral lists this transfer RNA (72 nucleotides) under Heterocephalus glaber (naked mole-rat). It matches the Rfam family "tRNA". Rfam says of the family: Transfer RNA (tRNA) molecules are approximately 80 nucleotides in length. Their secondary structure includes four short double-helical elements and three loops (D, anti-codon, and T loops). The record is from Rfam by way of RNAcentral. Lineage: Eukaryota; Metazoa; Chordata; Mammalia; Rodentia; Bathyergidae.
UGGGGUGUAGCUUAGUGGUAGAGCACUUGCCUAGCAUGCACAAGCCCCUGAAUUCAAUCCCUAGCACUUCAA